GGCAUCAGGAAGAAAGCUUGCUUUCUUUGCUGGCGACCGGCGCACGGGUGAGUAACACGUAUCCAACCUGCCCUUUACUCGGGGAUAGCCUUUCGAAAGAAAGAUUAAUACCCGAUAGCAUAAUGAUUCCGCAUGGUUUCAUUAUUAAAGGAUUCCGGUAAAGGAUGGGGAUGCGUUCCAUUAGGUUGUUGGUGAGGUAACGGCUCACCAAGCCUUCGAUGGAUAGGGGUUCUGAGAGGAAGGUCCCCCACAUUGGAACUGAGACACGGUCCAAACUCCUACGGGAGGCAGCAGUGAGGAAUAUUGGUCAAUGGGCGCUAGCCUGAACCAGCCAAGUAGCGUGAAGGAUGAAGGCUCUAUGGGUCGUAAACUUCUUUUAUAUAAGAAUAAAGUGCAGUAUGUAUACUGGUUUGUAUGUAUUAUAUGAAUAAGGAUCGGCUAACUCCGUGCCAGCAGCCGCGGUAAUACGGAGGAUCCGAGCGUUAUCCGGAUUUAUUGGGUUUAAAGGGAGCGUAGGUGGACUGGUAAG
RNAcentral lists this ribosomal RNA (529 nucleotides) under uncultured bacterium. RNAcentral describes it as "bacterial SSU rRNA". It matches the Rfam family "Bacterial small subunit ribosomal RNA", at positions 68 to 587 of the family's 1533-position model. The record is from RNAcentral.